This 492-nucleotide ribosomal RNA is filed under the name Blastocystis sp. subtype 3. RNAcentral describes it as "SSU rRNA". It matches the Rfam family "Eukaryotic small subunit ribosomal RNA", at positions 509 to 1008 of the family's 1831-position model. Lineage: Eukaryota; Bigyra; Opalinata; Blastocystidae. The record is from RNAcentral.
UUGGAUUGAGACAACGUACAAACCUUAUCGAUAAACAAUUGGAGGGCAAGUCUGGUGCCAGCAGCCGCGGUAAUUCCAGCUCCAAUAGCGUAUAUUAACGUUGUUGCAGUUAAAAAGCUCGUAGUUGAAAUGAAGGGUAGUUGUGUAAUGAAUACAUUCGUGUAUUUUGUUAUUCUACUACCCUCCUUCUAAAUUCGAUAUAUGAGUAUUAAUUUACUUGUAUAUGGUUUUAGACUUUUACUGUGAGAAAAUUAGAGUGUUCAAAGCAGGCAUUUGCUUGAAUAUAUUAGCAUGGAAUAAUCAUGUAUGAUUUUCAUGAUGUAUUUGAUUGGUUUGGUUCAUGAGAAUAAGAUUAAAAGGGACAGUUGGGGGUAUUCAUAUUCAAUAGUCAGAGGUGAAAUUCUCGGAUUUAUGGAAGAUGAACAAGUGCGAAAGCAUUUACCAAGGAUGUUUUCAUUAAUCAAGAACGAAAGUUAGGGGAUCGAAGAGGAU